GCAGAAUAAACAGAUCGGCUUGUAUAUGCAAUAAAAAUGUAUAUAGUAAUUAUUAUUAUUAUUGUGAUUAUUAUUAUUACUAUUGUUUGUUGUUGUUGUUAUUGUUGUGAAAUUCCUUCACCAGCAUUGUAGUGCUUCUCAUUAUUUAGAUGUGCGUUGCCGUGGAAUCAAUUCUCAGAGACACAUAUAAAUUACUGUUUAACGAGACGCCAUAUUCCAUAAAUUAUUCAAAACACCUGGGAUUACAAUAUGAGAUCAAAUGAUAGGAAAGAAAGAGUACUCUGCUGGAGGCAGCGUGAACACCAGCCAUCACACUCUCGUUUUGAUGUUAAAUAAGGCAGUCGCUCGGCGAGCUGCUCAGACAGGAAUAAUUGAAAGAAAAAGAGAGCACACACUCUGCAAAAGCAGCUCGGUGCAUCAGAAGUGUCUUCUGUAAUGCCAGCUCGCCCACAGAACUGAAAGAAUUACGAACGAAACGUGUGGAAAAACGUUCUCCGGGGCGCCGCGGGGAGCCCGACGGGUGUGUGAGCGCCGCGAUGAGAAUUGGCCGAGCGUCCCGUAACGGCCCGGCUCCGACAGGACCCCCGCCGCACGGAUUAAUCACUGUCUUCACAUAAAGUCUAAAUCGCCACCUUAAGACUGUGGGAGGCUGGAGGGAGGGCUCUCGGGAGGUCAAAGGUUAAACUGUCGUUUUAAACGGAUGUUCGGUUUUGAAUUGCCUUUAAAUGUUCUCUAAAUUAUCAGGUCUGAAAUGAGAUUGGUUGCCUAACAUCAUCAUUAUAGAGCCUGUAUCACCUCACCUUUUUCUAUCCUGUACUAUUUAAAUACUGCUUCAAAUCCAUAUAUGGAGAGCAGUUUAACUCCACCCAUUCAUAUGGAAGUUAUAAGAGGUGUUUCAGCC
RNAcentral lists this long non-coding RNA (901 nucleotides) under Astyanax mexicanus (Mexican tetra). RNAcentral describes it as "lncRNA (ENSAMXG00005021502.1)". Lineage: Eukaryota; Metazoa; Chordata; Actinopteri; Characiformes; Acestrorhamphidae. The record is from RNAcentral.